This 1427-nucleotide ribosomal RNA is filed under the name metagenome. RNAcentral's name for it is "bacterial LSU rRNA". It matches the Rfam family "Bacterial large subunit ribosomal RNA", at positions 1518 to 2909 of the family's 2925-position model. The record is from RNAcentral.
GAGUAGGGAGAUCUCUUAGGUAAAUCCGGGGGGUCAAUUCCGAGACGCGAUAACGAGCUGUCAAGGCUUCGGUCUGACGGUGAAGUGGUUGAUGCCAUGCUUCCAGGAAAAGCCUCUAAGCUUCAGGUAACAAGGGACCGUACCCCAAACCGACACAGGUGGUCAGGUAGAGAAUACCAAGGCGCUUGAGAGGACUCGGGUGAAGGAACUAGGCAAAAUGGUACCGUAACUUCGGGAGAAGGUACGCCGCUUGGGGUGAUCGGACUUGCUCCGUGAGCUUCGGGCGGUCGAAGUGACCAGGUGGCUGCGACUGUUUAUUAAAAACACAGCACUCUGCAAACACGAAAGUGGACGUAUAGGGUGUGACGCCUGCCCGGUGCCGGAAGGUUAGUUGAUGGGGUCAGCCGCAAGGCGAAGCUCUUGAUCGAAGCCCCGGUAAACGGCGGCCGUAACAAUAACGGUCCUAAGGUAGCGAAAUUCCUUGUCGGGUAAGUUCCGACCUGCACGAAUGGCGUAACGAUGGCCACACUGUCUCCACCCGAGACUCAGUGAAAUUGAACUCGCUGUGAAGAUGCAGUGUACCCGCGGCUAGACGGAAAGACCCCGUGAACCUUUACUACAGCUUUGCACUGGACUCUGAAUCUGUUUGUGUAGGAUAGGUGGGAGGCUAUGAAGCCGGAACGCUAGUUCUGGUGGAGCCAACCUUGAAAUACCACCCUGACAUAUUUGGGGUUCUAACCCAGGCCCGUUAUCCGGGUCGGGGACAGUGUAUGGUGGGUAGUUUGACUGGGGCGGUCUCCUCCCAAAGAGUAACGGAGGAGCACGAAGGUACCCUCAGCGUGGUCGGAAAUCACGCUUUUGAGUGCAAAGGCAUAAGGGUGCUUGACUGCGAGAGCGACGGCUCGAGCAGGUGCGAAAGCAGGUCUUAGUGAUCCGGUGGUUCUGAAUGGAAGGGCCAUCGCUCAACGGAUAAAAGGUACUCCGGGGAUAACAGGCUGAUACCGCCCAAGAGUUCAUAUCGACGGCGGUGUUUGGCACCUCGAUGUCGGCUCAUCACAUCCUGGGGCUGAAGCCGGUCCCAAGGGUAUGGCUGUUCGCCAUUUAAAGUGGUACGCGAGCUGGGUUUAGAACGUCGUGAGACAGCUCGGUCCCUAUCUGCCGUGGGCGUUGGAGAUUUGAGGAAAGCUGCUCCUAGUACGAGAGGACCGGAGUGGACGAACCUCUGGUGUUCGGGUUGUCACGCCAGUGGCAUUGCCCGGUAGCUACGUUCGGACGGGAUAACCGCUGAAAGCAUCUAAGCGGGAAGCCUCUUCCAAGAUGAGAUCUCCCCGGGGACUCGAUCCCCCUGAAGGGUUGUUCAGACCAGGACGUUGAUAGGUGGGGUGUGUAAGCGCUGUGAGGCGUUGAGCUAACCCAUACUAAUUGCC